This 702-nucleotide long non-coding RNA is filed under the name Rattus norvegicus (Norway rat). RNAcentral's name for it is "long non-coding RNA NONRATT018957". Lineage: Eukaryota; Metazoa; Chordata; Mammalia; Rodentia; Muridae. The record is from RNAcentral.
UUCUUUUUUUUUUUUUUUUUUUUUUUUUUUUUGGUCUUUUUUUCGGAGCUGGGGACCAAACCCAGGGCCUUGCGCUUCCUAGGCAAGCGCUCUACCACUGAGCUAAAUCCCCAACCCCGGCUCUGGGGUUCUUGUGUUGCUCUGGGAGCUCCAUCUAGUACAGGAUCUUGGCCUGGACUCUGGCCUCAGUCUUAGGAUCAGUAAUAGACAAGUGACCUCAGGUGAGGGAGGAGCUAUUGGUGACAUUAGUGUGUCGUCCCCAGGGCAUCGCGGGUUCUGAUGGUCUUCCAGGGGACAAAGGAGAGCUGGGUCCUAAUGGCCCCGUUGGACAAAAAGGAGAGUCCGGCAGCCGAGGGGAACUGGGCCCCAAAGGCAUCCAGGGCCCCAAUGGUACCAGUGGGGUCCAGGGUGUGCCUGGUCCCCCAGGUCCACUGGGCUUCCAAGGCGUGCAGGGUGUCCCAGGCAUCACGGGGAAACCUGGAGUUCCGGGCAAGGAAGCCAGUGAACAACGCAUCAGGGAGCUGUGUGGGGGGAUGAUCAGUGAGCAAAUUGCACAGCUGGCUGCACACCUGAGGAAGCCCUUAGCACCAGGCUCCAUUGGCAGGCCUGGUCCAGCUGGCCCCCCAGGCCCUCCAGGCCCCCCAGGCUCCAUUGGCCACCCUGGCGCUCGGGGUCCUCCUGGAUACCGUGGUCCCACUGGGG